CRCUGAAGUGCAGAGUUUAUCUUCUCUGGGUUUUCUGCCUGCCUGGAGAUUGGUUGGAUCGCUCCCAAAGCCAACGGGCGCCUGGCACUGAGCACAGGGCUGGCCACAAAGGGCUGGCACCAGGGGUUUGCUCCAUGGGAAUUGUGUCCAGCAAAGCCACCAGGAAUUGUGUCCCAGAAGGGCCAGGACAGAGCCRGGGCCGGAGUGGUGCUGGAGAAAAUGAAUAUUUAUAAUAUUUAAUGACCAACCCCCUCAUCAGCCGGCUCCCAUUCUCCCGAGCCUGGGAGCAGUGCCAGAGGGUGGGAAUGCUGUCCCUGUGCUGGUGUGGGAAAGGCUGCCAGAGCUGCUCAUGUGUGUCUGCUUUUGUCUUCCAGCGGAGCAGAGUCCCUCUCCUCGGAUGAAAAAGAGGUGACCCCCAGUCACACGGAGGAAUCGGGAUCGGGAUUGGGAUCGGCCGAGGAGCACCCAGAGGGAGAGGCCAGUUCUGACAGCGGCUCCAGCAGCAGCUCCGAGGAGGAGUCAGAUGAAGAGCAGGAGGAGAAGGAAUCCCCGCCYGUCUGCAAUGAUUCAGGAGGGAACUGUUUGGCGCCCUGUGAGCACUGCAGGAACGGAAAUGAUCAGACGGAGCAAGUGACCCCCAGGAGACUUGCUGGAGGACAGUUUAUGUAUGGAAUUUUAAAAAUAUAUAUAUAAAUUAUAUA
Long non-coding RNA from Malurus melanocephalus (red-backed fairy wren), 701 nucleotides. RefSeq lists it as uncharacterized. The transcript has 6 exons. NCBI's taxonomy places the organism in Eukaryota, Metazoa, Chordata, Aves, Passeriformes, Maluridae. The record is from RefSeq and is a predicted model, not a curated record.